AUCGCUUCUUGGCCUUUUGGCUAAGAUCAAGUGUAGUAUCUGUUCUUACCCAUUUAAUGUCUGAUACAUCCUAAAAUUGAAAAAAUUUAACAAAAAGAGAUGGUUUAUACAUAUACAGGCAAAUUCUUUCUGUCUGUCUUCCUCUUUUGUUGUUGCCCCACAAAUGGCAGCACAGUGGACAAGCC
RNAcentral lists this small nuclear RNA (185 nucleotides) under Propithecus coquereli (Coquerel's sifaka). RNAcentral describes it as "U2 spliceosomal RNA (ENSPCOG00000002287.1)". It matches the Rfam family "U2 spliceosomal RNA". Rfam says of the family: U2 is a small nuclear RNA (snRNA) component of the spliceosome (involved in pre-mRNA splicing). The record is from Rfam by way of RNAcentral. Lineage: Eukaryota; Metazoa; Chordata; Mammalia; Primates; Indriidae.